CCGGCGCGUCCGGGGAACAGCGCGGCCCGGCCCCAGGACGGUGCGAGGAGGGACUGAGAGCCCGCGGCUCGCAGCGCAGACGGGGCAGGGAGCUGCCUCAGACAGGUGUGCCGCGCCUUUGAAGCCCGGGAAUAAAGCGAGACAGAGCGCGCAAGAUCCAAGACUGACUUGCACGACCUCCUUGCCUAUAGAAUGGAAAAUGGAUCAAUGUAUUUCAGUCUGACCUUGUAAACAGCUGUAACUGAAGAAAAUCCCUUGGCAAGUGACAAGUAAAGUGGAAUUGUAAGUAUCCCACAGAGGUAACUGCUGGUCUCCCACUGUGUCUUUAUGGAGUUAAUACACAGGAAUGAUGCUUUGUUUCAAAGAGGAGGGAUGCUAAAAAGUGCCAUCAGCAUCUGCCAACUAUAAACUGAUUACUCCAUGGCAGGGUUAGAUUACCCCUUCCAGAUGUACUGAACCUGUUAUAUUUGUGAUAUCCAACAAUCUGCUUGCUCUAUUAUAAUAGCACAGGAGCAUGUGAUUAGUCUGGCUUCAGAGAAGGCUAUUUUGUACUACAGCAGAAUUUCCUACUUAAGGAGUGCUCAGGAAGGAAGAAGUGAGAGCUGAAGACUGACAUGCCAACAGGUGUGCUCACACACUACUUGCAGCCAGAAAAAUCCAACUCAUCCUGAAUCAAUUUAGUGCUUUGCUUCAGUGCUUUCAGAAACGGUGAUUAAGACUUCAUGUUAUAAUCUGGAACAAAGUGAUUAAUGGUCCCUCAAAAAUCCACACAAGGUCUCAGCUGUAACUUACUGUUUUCACCACUGUUGGAGACAAUAAAGGAAGGAAGAGUGUGAAACAAAGUGAUAAGGAUUUGUGGCUUUGGGGCUGGAAAAGCUUUGGCUUAUAAGGCUAAGUAGCUUAAUGUUGGGCAUACAGACAUCUCAAUCACAGGGUGGCUGUCACAAGCAGCUUGUCAGGCUUCAUCUGGAGAGGUUUACAAUGCAUCCUGUAAUGGAGUGUGAUUACUGCUGUCACAAACAUCAGAUGAGAAGUCAGAAAAUAAACAUAGUCCAGCAUCUGACACGAAGUCUGUGGUUUUACCAUUGUUUAAUUACCUUAGUUAAAGGAAUGCAAGUAUUGGUUGUUCCAGAAAGGGUUUUUAGACAUACAGAAAAAUCCUCACAUAAAUAUCACUUAUAUAAUUUAAUGUUUUUAACCUGUUUAAAAUAAUAAAAUUGUACAUGAUUGUAAGUAUCAAAUACUUGUUCAGUUUACAAACACGACUCAAACUUUCCUAGCUUGUUCUGAACAGCAAGGAAGACUGUGUGUCAUAUACAUUGUAGGUAGCUGUUGGCCAGUUAAUACAUAGUUGGGAGCAAAAUUGUUGUUACAGAACUCAGUAUUUUUUUAAUUCCAAAAGCUUAUCUGCUUUCUAUUAACCAGCCAGUUCAAAGGGUCAGUAAAGAUCAUGUUUUGUACACUGAGGACUGUAUGAACACACAGCCAUCAGGAACUACCUUGGCUUAGUAGUUCAUCUAAUAUUUAGAAAUACUUUUCCCCAUUAUUUCAAAUACAGCUUUUACCUGGUAUGAGACCCUCUUGGCAGUGGGAAAGGGAAGAAAAUAUUUUUGUAUAAAUGUAUUUUGGUUUGGAUGAUGGUGUUUCCCAUCCAUGCAUGCUUAUGAACAAAACCCUUACAAGGAGCUGUGAAGUAAUAGAAAUAAAGGGGGGUGGAUACUCAUUCUGUUAAAUCUUGACUGGCCAGUAGAGGACAUAGCCUCCCAAAUCCUAUUUAGGGUUAAAAGAAUUGAUCCUUGUGCAUCUACUUGGCUUUGUAAUUGUGUCCUUACCUACUAUGAUAUUUAAUUAAACAUUAAAAUAUAGUUAAAUAGA
Catharus ustulatus (Swainson's thrush) is the source of this 1875-nucleotide long non-coding RNA. RefSeq lists it as uncharacterized. The record is from RefSeq and is a predicted model, not a curated record. The transcript is spliced from 2 exons. Lineage: Eukaryota; Metazoa; Chordata; Aves; Passeriformes; Turdidae.